Molecule: ribosomal RNA, 520 nt
Filed under: uncultured bacterium
Lineage: Bacteria
Description: partial 16S ribosomal RNA
Rfam family: Bacterial small subunit ribosomal RNA
Source: RNAcentral
GACGAACGCUGGCGGCGUGCCUAAUACAUGCAAGUCGAACGCACUCUCGUUUAGAUUGAAGGAGUUUGCUCCUGAUUGAUAAACAUUUGAGUGAGUGGCGGACGGGUGAGUAACACGUGGGUAACCUGCCCUAAAGUGGGGGAUAACAUUUGGAAACAGAUGCUAAUACCGCAUAAAACCUAACACCGCAUGGUGUAGGGUUGAAAGAUGGUUUCGGCUAUCACUUUAGGAUGGACCCGCGGUGCAUUAGUUAGUUGGUGAGGUAAAGGCUCACCAAGACCGUGAUGCAUAGCCGACCUGAGAGGGUAAUCGGCCACACUGGGACUGAGACACGGCCCAGACUCCUACGGGAGGCAGCAGUAGGGAAUCUUCCACAAUGGACGAAAGUCUGAUGGAGCAACGCCGCGUGAGUGAGGAAGGUUUUCGGAUCGUAAAACUCUGUUGUUGGAGAAGAAUGUAUCUGAUAGUAACUGAUCAGGUAGUGACGGUAUCCAACCAGAAAGCCACGGCUAACUACGUG